AGUUAAAAAGCUCGUAGUUGGAUUUCGGGAUGGGCCAGUCGGUCCGCCUAACGGUGUGUUUACUGGCUGGUCUGUUCUUCUUCGCAAAGACUGCGUGUGCACUUUACUGUGUGUGCGUAGGAUUUACGACGUUUACUUUGAAAAAAUUAGAGUGUUCAAAGCAGGCAUACCGCUUGAAUACAUGAGCAUGGAAUAAUGGAAUAGGACUUUGGUCUUAUUUUGUUGGUUUCUGAGACCGAGGUAAUAAUUAAGAGGGACAGUUGGGGGCAUUCGUAUUUCGUUGUCAGAGGUGAAAUUCUUGGAUUUACGAAAGACGAACAAUUGCGAAAGCAUUUGCCAAGAAUGUUUUCAUUAAUCAAGAACGAAAGUUAGAGGAUCGAAGACGAUCAGAUACCGUCCUAGUUCUAACCAUAAACGAUGUCGACUAGGGAUCAGCGAACGUCUAAUGCGACUUCGUUGGCACCUUACGGGAAACCAAAGUUUUUGGAUUCCGGGGGAAGUAUGGUUGCAAAACUGAAACUUAAAGGAAUUGACGGAAGGGCACCACCAGGAGUGGAGCCUGCGGCUUAAUUUGACUCAACACGGGAAAUCUCACCAGGCCCGGACACUGGAAGGAUUGACAGAUUG
RNAcentral lists this ribosomal RNA (627 nucleotides) under uncultured eukaryote. RNAcentral's name for it is "SSU rRNA". It matches the Rfam family "Eukaryotic small subunit ribosomal RNA", at positions 617 to 1250 of the family's 1831-position model. The record is from RNAcentral.